This is an RNA transcript of Leopardus geoffroyi (Geoffroy's cat), 2876 nucleotides long. It is a transcript of the gene named sodium/potassium transporting ATPase interacting 2, with no coding region annotated. Lineage: Eukaryota; Metazoa; Chordata; Mammalia; Carnivora; Felidae. The record is from RefSeq and is a predicted model, not a curated record. The transcript has 8 exons.
GAAGCCGGCGCGCGGAGAGCGCAGGGCGAGCGCGCGUCGGGCGGCGGCCGCGCUGGGGGGCGUGGGGCGAGCCGGCGCGAGGAGCGGCGGGGGCGAAACUUCGCGGCCAGAUGCCUGACGGCGCGGCGGCGCUGCGAGGCUGCCGCUGCUGCCCCUGCGGGCCCCGGGCGCGUCUCCGCGGGCGGCGCUGCCCGCGGCGCGGCGUGUGCACCGAGCGAGUGAAGGUAUGUUUGGCGGGCGCGGCUGGAGCUGCUGCCGCCGCCGCCGCGCCAGCAGGUCCUAAUGCCUGUCACUUCCCAGGACACUGGCAGCAGCAGCCCGGAGCCCCCGAGCCCUCGGCAGGUUUGCCUGUCCUUCCCCGCGAUCUGAUUGGAUAAAGUGGGGGCUCGACGGUGGCCGACGUGGGACAGUCUGGCUGUGGCAGGGGUCUCGGAAACCAUGGGUUAUUGCAGUGGCAGGUGCACGCUUAUCUUUAUCUGUGGCAUGCAACUGGUUUGUGUGCUGGAGAGGCAAAUAUUUGACUUCCUUGGAUAUCAGUGGGCACCUAUCCUGGCAAAUUUUGUACAUAUUAUUAUCGUCAUUCUUGGUUUAUUUGGGACUAUUCAAUAUAGACCUCGUUACAUAACAGGAUAUGCUGUCUGGCUAGUCCUCUGGGUUACCUGGAAUGUGUUUGUUAUCUGCUUCUAUUUGGAGGCUGGGGACCUCUCAAAGGAAACAGACCUUAUCCUGACUUUUAAUAUUUCAAUGCACCGAUCUUGGUGGAUGGAGAAUGGACCAGGAUGUACGGUGACAUCAGUGACACCCGCACCAGACUGGGCCCCAGAAGACCAUCGCUACAUCACGGUCUCAGGGUGUUUUCUGGAGUACCAGUACAUAGAAGUGGCUCAUAGUUCCCUCCAGAUUGUCCUCGCACUGGCAGGGUUCAUCUACGCCUGUUAUGUUGUGAAAUGUAUAACUGAAGAAGAGGACAGCUUUGAUUUCAUAGGUGGCUUUGAUUCUUAUGGCUAUCAAGGGCCUCAGAAGACAUCUCAUUUACAACUACAGCCUAUGUACAUGCAAAUUCCCUUGGAUAACAACUGAUAACAAAUUCUAUAUAUCAGCAUCAAGUGAUAUGCUGAAUUGCAAGCGAAGAUCAAAAUAGAAAGUCAAAAUAAUACAGAUGGCCUCAGUAUGUCAGCUCCUGGACCUUUCAAAGAACUUGUUUUGCAGUGGCCUCCUGCAUUUUAUGAAGAGCAAGAAGCAACUGAGUUUAAAUAUAUAUACAUGUUAACAGAACAAACAUAAAGCCUCUACAUACACUGAGACACACACACACACACACGCACGCACGCACACACACACAGAGGCACAUACUAAUUCCUCUUGGCCUCCUCUUUCUAACUGAAACAAAUAUGCAGGACACUCCCAUCUUGGAUUUCCUGAAAGUAGGCUUCUUUCUCCCAGGCCUUUGGAAAGUUCAUAAGGAGAUGUGUUGGUGCCCUCUGCUGGCCGUCACUAACUACUCUGCAGCCCAGCCAGUCGGCCUCUGUGAGCUGCAAAGUCAUCCAGGGCACAUUAGUUUGACAGCCCUGUCUUCUGCACUCCAUACGUCUUGAUAGCACCACGGCUACGUAGGCAAUGUAAUUGCAAAAACAAACAAAACAUGCCAUGAUGACCUUGUAACCGAAGUCCGAAAUGGCAGGUUGCCCUAAAGGCUAUACCGUACAUACUUGCCUUAACCCACCUAAGUUGUGCGCCCGAGUCUCAGUGCAGACCUCCCCAAGUCACUUCCUUUAGGCUAACACACUGCUAUUAAUUCCGAACGAGUUUGAGUCUGUGUGUUUCACGUCAAGAAACAGGACUGCAUAGCUCAGCAGCUCAGUGUGUCUGUGUACAAAAACUGCCAGCUGUCAGCAAAGUGCUUUAUCAUUGAACCUCCAUGGUGGCCAAAAACAGACAAGUGACAAUAACAACAACAACAAUAAUCAUGUUCUUUAUAAUUCUUAAAUAUGGUCUUCUGAAGGGGUUGGGUGGGACAAAGUAAAAUUUAUUAAUCUACUAAACUCAUAAUCUACUGGAAGCAGAGAACAGAAAUGGCUUAACUCACUGAUUUUAUUUACUGCACUCUAGGUGCUUUUAUAAGUAUCUACAAAUGUCUUUUACUAACACAGAAACAGCUGUGGAUUUCUAUCAACAGAGGCCAACUGAAUAUGUAUUAGCUAUGUUUACUCUUUUAUAUCUAAUUCAAAUGGAAGACCCUACGUAGGUGAACUUUUUUUCCUAACUUCAGCGUACGAGAUUAUUUUUUGGGUGGGCGGGGGGAGCAAUAGUUACCUUGGUGAAAUAUUUGAGAUCUCUUUGUGGUAUUUGGGGGAUCUGUUGUGUGUUAGAGUGUAUUUUAAUCCUCCUGUAUUAUUGUGGCAGAAAAACUGUGCUGUUAACGUAGUUGGCAACAAGAUGCCUUUGGAAACUUAAUAGUAGGUCAAUGUGUUUAUGGAAUAUUCUGAAUUCCUAGGAAAUUUUGUUCUAUAUACUCAAGCAUUAUUUGGUUUUCAUUAGUGGGAAACAUAAUUAGCUCAGGCUUAUCAGGAACUCCGAAGAGUCAUGUUUUUUCUUGGAUCCACCUGAGAUGCUAAAAUCAAUUUUUUUAAAACUAAUACAACAUCCUUCAGUGCAGUGAAAUUGAGACUUGAAAAGUUACAAAUUGGCAUGGAGCAAUGUUUUCUCUCUUGGUUUCUAUGUAGUUUCCUCAGUUAUUGGGUUAACCUACUUUGGACCUUAGCCCAUCCAGAUCUACAUAAACCAGCCCCAUUACUGUGUUUGCAUGGAUGUCUGUGAAAUACACACAUAUACAUUCAAAAACGAUAAAGGAACAAAGGUUAUAUUGGAACAUAAAC